RNAcentral lists this ribosomal RNA (365 nucleotides) under uncultured Pantoea sp. RNAcentral's name for it is "bacterial SSU rRNA". It matches the Rfam family "Bacterial small subunit ribosomal RNA", at positions 505 to 871 of the family's 1533-position model. Lineage: Bacteria; Pseudomonadati; Pseudomonadota; Gammaproteobacteria; Enterobacterales; Erwiniaceae. The record is from RNAcentral.
GUGCCAGCCGCGGCGGUAAUACGGAGGGUGCAAGCGUUAAUCGGAAUUACUGGGCGUAAAGCGCACGCAGGCGGUCUGUUAAGUCAGAUGUGAAAUCCCCGGGCUUAACCUGGGAACUGCAUUUGAAACUGGCAGGCUUGAGUCUCGUAGAGGGGGUAGAAUUCCAGGUGUAGCGGUGAAAUGCGUAGAGAUCUGGAGGAAUACCGGUGGCGAAGGCGGCCCCCUGGACGAAGACUGACGCUCAGGUGCGAAAGCGUGGGAGCAAACAGGAUUAGAUACCCUGGUAGUCCACGCCGUAAACGAUGUUGACUUGGAGGUUGUUCCCUUGAGGAGUGGCUUCCGGAGCUAACGCGUUAAGUCGACCG